UAGUGGCGAACGGGUGAGUAACACGUGGGCAAUCUGCCCUUCACUCUGGGACAAGCCCUGGAAACGGGGUCUAAUACCGGAUAACACUCUUCCCUGCAUGGGGGAGGGUUGAAAGCUCCGGCGGUGAAGGAUGAGCCCGCGGCCUAUCAGCUUGUUGGUGGGGUGAUGGCCUACCAAGGCGACGACGGGUAGCCGGCCUGAGAGGGCGACCGGCCACACUGGGACUGAGACACGGCCCAGACUCCUACGGGAGGCAGCAGUGGGGAAUAUUGCACAAUGGGCGGAAGCCUGAUGCAGCGACGCCGCGUGAGGGAUGACGGCCUUCGGGUUGUAAACCUCUUUCAGCAGGGAAGAAGCGUGAGUGACGGUACCUGCAGAAGAAGCGCCGGCUAACUACGUGCCAGCAGCCGCGGUAAUACGUAGGGCGCAAGCGUUGUCCGGAAUUAUUGGGCGUAAAGAGCUCGUAGGCGGCUUGUCGCGUCGGAUGUGAAAGCCCGGGCCUUAACUCCGGGUCUGCAUUCGAUACGGGCAGGCUAGAGUGUGGUAGGGGAGAUCGGAAUUCCU
This 564-nucleotide ribosomal RNA is filed under the name Streptomyces sp. 334G05. RNAcentral describes it as "bacterial SSU rRNA". It matches the Rfam family "Bacterial small subunit ribosomal RNA", at positions 93 to 671 of the family's 1533-position model. Lineage: Bacteria; Bacillati; Actinomycetota; Actinomycetes; Kitasatosporales; Streptomycetaceae. The record is from RNAcentral.